This 85-nucleotide transfer RNA is filed under the name Verrucomicrobiota bacterium. RNAcentral's name for it is "tRNA-Leu". It matches the Rfam family "tRNA". From Rfam's summary of the family: Transfer RNA (tRNA) molecules are approximately 80 nucleotides in length. Their secondary structure includes four short double-helical elements and three loops (D, anti-codon, and T loops). The record is from RNAcentral. Lineage: Bacteria; Pseudomonadati; Verrucomicrobiota.
GCCGAUGUGGCGAAAUGGCAGACGCAACGGACUUAAAAUCCGUUUGAGUGAAAACUCAGUGCGGGUUCGAGUCCCGCCAUCGGCA